AGAAGCCCAUCAGUCAAUCUCUUCGCAUCUCUUACUCUUCCACGUCUCUAGCAGCAGACCGGGCGACGCGACGCCGUCAAGCACCAGCCGAGCACCACCGCGCGGUGCUCCACCACCGUACGGUGCACGCCCACGCCACAAAUCCGUUCUUGGCCCCGCCCUCCGAAAUCCGCUGCUGCUGUUAUCCAUCCCGCUCCCAGAUGGAUUCCCGAGUCCCCAAAAAUUGGUGUUCUGUUAUCUAUCUGUUUACUGAUUUGUAUAUUUCCUUCUCUCGUCUGCGUGUGAUGGCCAGGUACUGCUGCUGCCAGUGAGGGACGCAAGAAUCUGCGUGCCAAUACUGUAAAAGGAAGAGUUCUACAAGAACAAGAAGGAAGGGAAAACAGGGCCAGAGUUAAAUUUGUCAACUGCACUUUGUGAUGUUGGUGCUUGGGGUCAGAUGGUGCAUCGAUUGUGGGUAUAAUAUGGUGCAUCGAUUGUGGGUAUAAUUUUUGAAAUAGUAUCCAUGAAGUUUAUUCAAGAGAGCGACUAAUUUUUUAUACUGGAUGAGAACGCUUCCAUCAUAGGCUCCAUCUCAUCCGGUCUAUGUCUUCGAGACGGUCUAUUUUCAACAUUUAUACGAAGAAGAUCUAGCACCAGAGAUUCACCAUCGGGAUUAACACAUUGCUUCGACGACGGUACUAUCUCAAGAUGCAUUAUUAACGAGCUUUCCAAUGACACCAUAUUUGUUUCAGGGAUUUCCUUCCCCUGGUAUACCAAUGACGGAUCAUAAAGAUAGUGGUCAGGAUAGAUGGGACAGGGCCGGGCCGGCAAAAUUGGGGACCCUGUGCGAAACUAAAAUGUGGGGCCCUAUCUCACUAAAAUGAACUAACGAGCAAUUAUGAUAUAAUGUCUUACAUAACAAUUGGUUAUACAAAAAAGCAUACCUAUUCAUACAGCAACAGAUAUCAAUUGGAGAUUAUGUGUCAAUAUUUGGCAAUUAGACGAACCGUCUAACUCAACUAGUCAUGUUUCCUGUCUCUCUAAUGAUCCCUGCCAAAAGUAAUUUGGAAAUAGGAAUAGAAUUAGGAGUACAUACAGUAUAUAAGAAACAAUUUAUAGGAGUAGAAUUAGGAGUACAAUGAGGGCCAUCCAACGUAUAUACAGUGUAUAAGAAACAAUUUUGCUCCCCGAGAACCCGAAUCACAAUAACAAGGUAUAUACCGUAUUGAUAACACAAUAGCUAGCUACUCCCUCCGUUCGGAAUUACUUGUCGCGGAAAUGGAUGUAUCUAGACGUAUUUUAGUUCUAGAUACAUCCAUUUCCGAGACAAGUAAUUCCGAAUGGAGGGAGUAGUAGAUAGCUAGAAUCACAAUAGGUAUAUCAUCGAAUCACAGUAACUAGAAUGAUAGGAUCACAAUAGCUAGCUAGCAGAUAACACUAGAUACUUUCUCAAUAGUCAAUACAUGUAGAAGAGGCGUCAAAAGACAGGCAACAAGUAUAUGAUCGAAAAUUCCUCUCCGAGAACCCGAGAUCAGGAGACUACGAGAGGAAUAAUCGAUGGAUCAUGGAUGCGAACCAAUGAGGGCUGUAAUU
This is a long non-coding RNA of Triticum aestivum (bread wheat), 1572 nucleotides long. RefSeq lists it as uncharacterized. The record is from RefSeq and is a predicted model, not a curated record. The transcript has 4 exons. Lineage: Eukaryota; Viridiplantae; Streptophyta; Magnoliopsida; Poales; Poaceae.